GUGAAUUCAUUAUUUUAAAAAUGUUGGCGGGUCCAAAAUCAAUGUUUUGUUCAUCUUUGUGGAAGAUAUCUGACGUUUGGUUCCCACUUCUAACAAGGUUUGUGAGCCGAUAGUAAAACGAUGUUGGUAUCACGUGGUAUCUCUGGGUCAUCAGCAUUCAGGUUGC
Sebastes umbrosus (honeycomb rockfish) is the source of this 166-nucleotide long non-coding RNA. RefSeq lists it as uncharacterized. The transcript is spliced from 3 exons. The record is from RefSeq and is a predicted model, not a curated record. NCBI's taxonomy places the organism in Eukaryota, Metazoa, Chordata, Actinopteri, Perciformes, Sebastidae.